RNAcentral lists this ribosomal RNA (536 nucleotides) under uncultured Glomus. Its description in RNAcentral is "SSU rRNA". It matches the Rfam family "Eukaryotic small subunit ribosomal RNA", at positions 569 to 1108 of the family's 1831-position model. Lineage: Eukaryota; Fungi; Glomeromycota; Glomeromycetes; Glomerales; Glomeraceae. The record is from RNAcentral.
AGCAGCCGCGGUAAUUCCAGCUCCAAUAGCGUAUAUUAAAGUUGUUGCAGUUAAAAAGCUCGUAGUUGAAUUUCGGGAUCAAAUUGUCGGUCGUGCCUCGGUACGCACUGGUAUUAUUGGUUCCUACCUUCUGAAGAACCGCGAUGUCAUUAAUUUGGUGUCGUGGGGAAUCAGGACUGUUACUUUGAAAAAAUUAGAGUGUUUAAAGCAGGCUUACGCUUGAAUACAUUAGCAUGGAAUAAUGAAAUAGGACGUUUGAUUCUAUUUUGUUGGUUUCUAGGAUUGACGUAAUGAUUAAUAGGGAUAGUUGGGGGCAUUAGUAUUCAAUUGUCAGAGGUGAAAUUCUUGGAUUUAUUGAAGACUAACUACUGCGAAAGCAUUUGCCAAGGAUGUUUUCAUUAAUCAAGAACGAAAGUUAGGGAUCGAAGACGAUCAGGUACCGUCGUAGUCUUAACCAUAAACUNUGCCGACUAGGGAUCGGAUGAUGUUAAUUUUUAAUGUACUCAUUCGACGCCUUACGGGAAACCAAGGUGUUU